This 429-nucleotide ribosomal RNA is filed under the name Pseudomonadota bacterium. RNAcentral's name for it is "Proteobacteria bacterium partial 16S ribosomal RNA". It matches the Rfam family "Bacterial small subunit ribosomal RNA", at positions 355 to 776 of the family's 1533-position model. The record is from RNAcentral. Lineage: Bacteria; Pseudomonadati; Pseudomonadota.
UGGGGAAUAUUGGACAAUGGGCGAAAGCCUGAUCCAGCCAUGCCGCGUGUGUGAAGAAGGUCUUCGGAUUGUAAAGCACUUUAAGUUGGGAGGAAGGGCAGUAAGCGAAUACCUUGCUGUUUUGACGUUACCGACAGAAUAAGCACCGGCUAACUCUGGGCCAGCAGCCGCGGUAAUACAGAGGGUGCAAGCGGUAAUCGGAAUUACUGGGCGUAAAGCGCGAGUAGGUGGUUUGUUAAGUUGAAUGUGAAAGCCCCGGGCUCAACCUGGGAACAGCAUCGAAAACUGGCGAGCUAGAGUAGGGGAGAGGGUAGUGGAAUUUCCUGUGUAGCGGUGAAAUGCGUAGAUAUAGGAAGGAACACCCGAGGCGAAGGCGACCACCUGGGCUCAUACUGACACUGAGGUGCGAAAGCGUAGGGAGCAAACAGG